RNAcentral lists this long non-coding RNA (1957 nucleotides) under Hordeum vulgare. RNAcentral's name for it is "long non-coding RNA (HVUL_LNC014584)". The record is from RNAcentral. Lineage: Eukaryota; Viridiplantae; Streptophyta; Magnoliopsida; Poales; Poaceae.
UGACGGCGGACAUCGGCAUAGCUAUUUUCAUUCUUUUUUAAUCAAAAUCCAUGUGGCACAUCUAUGCCAAUGGCCAGGCGGUUGGCAUACAUAUUAUACGUAUCUUUGUUUUUAUUUUAUAUUUUAUACAUAUUAUACAUAUUAUGGCCAGGCAGGAAAAUGCCGCCCGCCCUAGAGGUGGUGAGACACCCCUGGUCGUCGUACCACUCCCUAGUCACCGCAUGGACUGAAUUUCUCCACCUCCGGCGCAAAACCGUCCGCUGAAUCGCCAAAUAGAUCGUCACCUCACUUGAUUUGGAGUGGGGAAAGGAGAAUCGGAGGAGCCGAGCGAAUUGUUGUUGUGGUUUCGAAAUGCUCGCCCCUGGUGAGGAGAGGUGGACGCAAUGAAGAGGGGAAGUUAUGGGUUUUAAAAAAAAUCUGAAAAUUUGAAAAUAAAUAUGCAAGUAAAGAAAGAUGUUAUGUUUAUGUGUGUAAAUUUUUAAGAUGAAAUACCUUGAAAUACUGUCUACACAAAAAAGAAAAAUUCAUAGCCUAGAAUUGUUGAACAUAUCACGCAUCAUCACUAAAGGAAUCAGUCAUUUUACCGUCAGGACGCUACAGACGACAAAAAAUUGCCGUCAGCCAUGACGGCAAAUAAUGCCAACGUCCACCAUGCCCGCAAAGGGUAGUUUUACCGUCAACGUAUGCGAGAGCAGACGGCAAAAAAAUGCCGUUAGUGAAAUUAUUUUGCUGUUGGCAGGAUCGGUAGACGACAAAAAAUUGGUACCAGACGGAACGUCCAGCCGGACAAACGACGUUAGUCCUUUUUGCCGUCAGCCCAUGGUAGUCCUGGACUGCAAAACCCCCAUUUUCUGCCCUCAUCAACAGAAACUUCAGACGGCAAAACACCCCAGAUUUUAUAGAAAAUAUCAAAGUUGUCCAGAGGGAAACGAACUGACGAGGAAAACCACGAUAUCCGUGAGCACUGCUGUUCCAAGAAUCAACAACGAAGGAAAUAAUUUCACUAUACAGAAAUAUUCAUCAUCACUUGCUGAUCCAAAACAAAACUACUCCGUUUAAAAAGAUGAGCGUAUUACACAAGAACGGAUUACACUGCAGUGUACAUAGUUCGAUCUGGAGUACACCGACGCGCCAACGACGCCUGAGGAGCUCAAACCGUCCGCCGCCUCGCCGGAGCUCGCCAACCUCGUCCGAUCGCUGGAUCCAUUGGACCCCGCCAGCUCCGUCGACACCAAGCCCCGCCGCCGACAGAGGAAAGCAGAAGAGGCGUAGGCCCGCGACACGGGAAGGCGGCGACACAGGAGAGCAACAGAGACCGAGGCAGGCGCCUACGGGUGGUGGGAGGCAGGCGGCAUCCGAAGUCGAGCAUCGUGCUGAGUACACCGAUGGCUUCUCGGGGCGAUGGGGACGGGUCGAAGAAGGGAACGGGUCGUGACCGGUGGUGCUAGGGAGCAGGUGCAAGACAGAUAGAUGGAUGCGGCAUUUUUCCAGCGGUGUUGCGAGACUAGACUACUAUAGACAGGCAGAGCUGCUUGCAUGAUAAAAUAAAUCGGUGUCUUCUGUUAUUAUUGUUGCAAGAGAGAAAAUUAAGAGUUAGCACGAAGAUAACACUAGUAGAAAACACGGCUUUAGUUCUGGCCAGAUAAAAGCUGAGGUUGCCACACCUCUUCUGACAGCCGGCCAGGGAGGGAAGAUCACUCCUGUUCCCGGCCUGGCUUCCUUGCACGCCAGCGGAUGCUCGCACCGUUGCCAUCCAUAACAACAGCGGCGCGAGCAAGCAGAGGCGCCUCAUCGUCUUCAUCACAGUAUUUGUGGGAAAAAUGGUGUAUUAAGCUUUAGGUGUCUCGCUGCUUUAGCUUCCAGCAUUGGUACUCUUGCAUAUUUAUGUACCUGUCCAGUAUCACCAUUUUCAAACGGAAUUGUACACUCGUAUUCCAUUUUCUAACGGAAUUACACG